This is a long non-coding RNA of Hippocampus zosterae (dwarf seahorse), 905 nucleotides long. RefSeq lists it as uncharacterized. The record is from RefSeq and is a predicted model, not a curated record. NCBI's taxonomy places the organism in Eukaryota, Metazoa, Chordata, Actinopteri, Syngnathiformes, Syngnathidae. The transcript is spliced from 3 exons.
CCUUGCAGCACCGAGAGCUCACUGCUGUUUCUCGCAACAAAGUCAUAGGAGCAGCAGAAAUGUCUCUCCCCAGGUGGUGGAAGUCCAUUUCCCUCCCUGGAAUGAUAUUUACAGUGACGUCUCUCAUUUCGAUGGUUUUCUUGUUCAGAUCUUCCAGAGGCAAGCCAGAGGAGUCGAACGCCUGCGGCUGCCAUCCGUCCAGGAAGACUGGCGAGUACGGAGGGACAGACACACCGAGCUGGCAACUGAAGGAAGUAUUGAUUAAGAUUUCUUUGAGAGGUCGAACACAAUUGCAAAAAGAAAAAAAAACACACAUACCUGGGGCAAGUCCAGUUGGGGCCUAACUCAGUCCAAAGCUGUUUUUCCUCCUCGGUCAGAUGGUCCCGGAGCAGCGAAACGGCUCCAGUGGUCAGUGCGGGACUGACCACUGAGCCCCCCAAUUGUGGGCCGCAUGUGGUUUUCACCAUCUAUGACAGAGGCACAAGUCAGUCAGCAAGAAACAGCGCGCGAGAGAGCCUCUCACCCAGAAUGUGAAGGUGGGCACACCAGUUGGAGAGGAAAAAAGAUGUGAUGCAGCAACCGGGGCGCUUUCGGUUCCGUUAUGGCAGACUUGACCCGAUCCUUGAAGUAACCAGCAAAUAGUCACAGGAGUGACAUUUCAAGAAGAAGCAAAAACAGAGCGAUCAGAGUUGUCACAUCUUACCAGCAGACUGAAGGAGUACUUGAUUUUCUGAAAAAUGUCCACAAAGUCGUCCUCUGAUGGAGGAACCGCUUUCAUGCCUUCCGGAGGACUGCAUUGUGUUUGAAAGCUACAACAGCAGCAGGUAAAUUUGUGCUCACUACCAUCUUGGCUCAGCUUCUUGCUCUUCCUGCUUUUUUUCUUCCUCUGAAGAAGAAUGCUCUGG